Long non-coding RNA from Polyodon spathula (Mississippi paddlefish), 542 nucleotides. RefSeq lists it as uncharacterized. The record is from RefSeq and is a predicted model, not a curated record. Lineage: Eukaryota; Metazoa; Chordata; Actinopteri; Acipenseriformes; Polyodontidae. The transcript has 3 exons.
UGGACACAUUUUCUUCAUCACAUCCAGUAGUCUAUUGUCCUUUCUCUGGGGCUUUCUUCCACCUGUCUCCCUCAGACAAUGCCCUCUAUCUGUACCUGAAUGAUACUGCAGGAGAUUCUGGUAAAAGCGUGCCAGCCUUGGAGAAGGACUCAGACUUUUCAUCCUCUAAAGAUGAUCCUGCAGUGAUCUAUGGAGGUGAAAAAGAAUUGCAACAGUUUGGUGUAUUUUGUGUUGAUCUUCAGAAAUUUAAAAAGACCCAUAAAAAGAAGGACUGGCAUAAAGGCAUAUUGUUAAAGAAACUCCUGGUUGCAGAGUCUGGAUUCUACAGAGAAGGAAUAGAGUGGUUGUUGGGACAUAAUUUGGGGUCUGGAAAAUUUGGCACUGUCUUUGAAGUCAUUGAUAACAGUAGCCAGUUUAAAUGUGCAGCAAAAAAGGUGGAGUUGAAGGACUUUAAACAGGGAGAGCUUGAGAUCUGGAAAGCUUUAAGUGGUCCCCAUGUUGUGGAACUGUUUGGAGCUGUUUUGGCAGGAGAGCAUGUGAUA